CUUCUUUCUUUCUUCUUUCUUUCCCGAUCAGCCCCGACAGUGCUCCUCCCAGCCCGAUGCGACGGUCGACGGCGGCGGAGGAGCUCUCCUCUCCCCUCUUUUCUUCUUUUUAUUUUCUUUCUUUGCUCUUUUUUUCCCUUUUUUGUUUGCUGUUUUUUUUCUUUGUCUUUGCUUUUUUUUUUAUUGGCUUUCUUUGUCUUUGGUGGAUGGGGGAACGACGGCUGGUGGUGAGGGACGGCGGUGGACGCGGCGGCGUGGGGCUUUUCGCUGCUGUUUUUUGCUUGAUUUUGUGACAGUGGAGCAAUCAUGGCCUAGGGAGGCUUUGGAGUAGCUGGAGGUGGGAGGAGCACGUCCGACUGCUGAUUGGGGGUGAUUUGACAAGUCCAGAAGGACUAAAUUGUAGAAGGCGUAAAAUUUUUGGGACAAAAGUGUAAUUUUAAAAAAAUAUAGGGCUAAAAUGUAAUUUUUAGAAAUUUUAGGGGCCCGAAUGUAAUUUUAAAAUUUUUAUUUGUUCUUA
Molecule: long non-coding RNA, 517 nt
Organism: Gossypium raimondii (Peruvian cotton)
Lineage: Eukaryota; Viridiplantae; Streptophyta; Magnoliopsida; Malvales; Malvaceae
Exons: 2
Source: RefSeq, a predicted model, not a curated record